AGCAAUUGUCAAAGGUGGAGCAGCAGAUGAGGUAAAAAUGGUGAGGAAGGAACAUAAACAGUUGGGGUUGAAAUGGAAUGUAUGGAAGAAGUCAUAGAUAUGGGUGUUAGAAAUGAGGUUAAGGGAGUUUCAUCUAAAACAAGCCCUAAGCCUUCACUAUCAAAUCCACUGUCAAAAAGUCGAUCAAUGGACUCAUGGGUAUCAAUAGGAUCAAUGUCAUCAUCGGGAAUUACAACCAAGGCCUCAGUAGGCUCAGCAAGUGGAACAGAAGGAUGAGGAGAUGCCUAUGCUUCAUCAUCGGAGAUGAUACAUCUUCGGGUUCGUGGCCUUUUGUCAUCAAAGAGCCCCCAUCUUCCUCUUCUUCAGAGUCUUCUUCAAUAGUUUUUCUCUUAGACGAGGAACCUAAAACAAUCUCUUGAGCCUUUU
Molecule: long non-coding RNA, 426 nt
Filed under: Nicotiana benthamiana
Lineage: Eukaryota; Viridiplantae; Streptophyta; Magnoliopsida; Solanales; Solanaceae
Description: long non-coding RNA (NBEN_LNC004046)
Source: RNAcentral